UCCGGAGGGAGACUAUGUGUGUCUGUGCGUGACUACUACUGCUACAAAUUUCAGAUGCGUCCCGGGAUAUUCAACCCAAUCCUCUAUGGUAAGCGUCUUUUCCAACAGUUUGCAGUAGACACAUACAUCAAGAUAGAGAACUCCCGAUUUGACUAUAUAUGGGGCCAUCAAGAUACGAUAAGGGCGGACCUAUACCAAGGCUUGGUGGACAGCUUACAUGCUGGUGAGGAUAGGGCAGAUGCUAUUGGAAAA
Molecule: ribosomal RNA, 252 nt
Filed under: Triticum aestivum (bread wheat)
Lineage: Eukaryota; Viridiplantae; Streptophyta; Magnoliopsida; Poales; Poaceae
Description: partial small subunit ribosomal RNA
Source: RNAcentral